AUGAAUUGUCGACACGAGUUGUUGCUGGCCCCCUGACCGGGAGCACGUGCACGCUCUGUUUACACAUCCACUCACACCUGUGCACCCUCUGUAGUUCUGUGGCCUGGGGGUUUCCGCCCUCUUGCUGCGGUCCUGCGUCUUUACACACACACACUGUAACAAAGUCUUGUGGAAUGUACUCGCGUUUAACGCAAUACAAUA
Molecule: unclassified non-coding RNA, 201 nt
Filed under: uncultured Thelephoraceae
Lineage: Eukaryota; Fungi; Basidiomycota; Agaricomycetes; Thelephorales; Thelephoraceae
Description: sequence contains ITS1
Source: RNAcentral